GCUAGGGGUGGUGGUACAUACCUGUAAUCCCAGCCACCAUGGAGGUGGAGGCUGGUGGAUUUCUUGAGCUCAGGAGUUCUGAGCUGCAGUGGGCUAAGCAGAUUUGGUGUCUGAAUUGAGUUCAGCAUAAAUAUGGUGAGUCCCUAGUCCAGAAAAGGAGCAGGUUAUAUCUCCCAUAUUGGUCAGUAGUGAGACUAUGAGUAGUCCCUGCUCUUUCAGCCUGGGUGCAAUAGGGAUACCCAAUCUUUA
This 249-nucleotide signal recognition particle RNA is filed under the name Vombatus ursinus (common wombat). Its description in RNAcentral is "Metazoan signal recognition particle RNA (ENSVURG00010019548.1)". It matches the Rfam family "Metazoan signal recognition particle RNA". From Rfam's summary of the family: The signal recognition particle (SRP) is a universally conserved ribonucleoprotein. It is involved in the co-translational targeting of proteins to membranes. Lineage: Eukaryota; Metazoa; Chordata; Mammalia; Diprotodontia; Vombatidae. The record is from Rfam by way of RNAcentral.